Molecule: small nuclear RNA, 200 nt
Organism: Triticum dicoccoides
Lineage: Eukaryota; Viridiplantae; Streptophyta; Magnoliopsida; Poales; Poaceae
Product: U2 spliceosomal RNA
Exons: 1
Source: RefSeq, a predicted model, not a curated record
AUACCUUUCUUGGCUUUUUGGCUAAGAUCAUGUAUAGUAUCUGUUCUUAUCAGUUUAAUAUCCAAUACAUGUUUCUACGGAUCCAUGAGAUAUUAAGUUAAUCUUUUGUGGGGGAGAAUUUUUCUAUGUAGCUUGCUAUAUGGAUGGUUCUCAUGUGUCGGACAAGCGUUGCACUACUGCUUGGAACAGAUGCACCCCAA